Molecule: ribosomal RNA, 1439 nt
Filed under: Lactiplantibacillus plantarum
Lineage: Bacteria; Bacillati; Bacillota; Bacilli; Lactobacillales; Lactobacillaceae
Description: bacterial SSU rRNA
Rfam family: Bacterial small subunit ribosomal RNA
Source: RNAcentral
CCUGGUGUAUUGAUUGGGUGCUUGCAUCAUGAUUUACAUUUGAGUGAGUGGCGAACUGGUGAGUAACACGUGGGAAACCUGCCCAGAAGCGGGGGAUAACACCUGGAAACAGAUGCUAAUACCGCAUAACAACUUGGACCGCAUGGUCCGAGUUUGAAAGAUGGCUUCGGCUAUCACUUUUGGAUGGUCCCGCGGCGUAUUAGCUAGAUGGUGAGGUAACGGCUCACCAUGGCAAUGAUACGUAGCCGACCUGAGAGGGUAAUCGGCCACAUUGGGACUGAGACACGGCCCAAACUCCUACGGGAGGCAGCAGUAGGGAAUCUUCCACAAUGGACGAAAGUCUGAUGGAGCAACGCCGCGUGAGUGAAGAAGGGUUUCGGCUCGUAAAACUCUGUUGUUAAAGAAGAACAUAUCUGAGAGUAACUGUUCAGGUAUUGACGGUAUUUAACCAGAAAGCCACGGCUAACUACGUGCCAGCAGCCGCGGUAAUACGUAGGUGGCAAGCGUUGUCCGGAUUUAUUGGGCGUAAAGCGAGCGCAGGCGGUUUUUUAAGUCUGAUGUGAAAGCCUUCGGCUCAACCGAAGAAGUGCAUCGGAAACUGGGAAACUUGAGUGCAGAAGAGGACAGUGGAACUCCAUGUGUAGCGGUGAAAUGCGUAGAUAUAUGGAAGAACACCAGUGGCGAAGGCGGCUGUCUGGUCUGUAACUGACGCUGAGGCUCGAAAGUAUGGGUAGCAAACAGGAUUAGAUACCCUGGUAGUCCAUACCGUAAACGAUGAAUGCUAAGUGUUGGAGGGUUUCCGCCCUUCAGUGCUGCAGCUAACGCAUUAAGCAUUCCGCCUGGGGAGUACGGCCGCAAGGCUGAAACUCAAAGGAAUUGACGGGGGCCCGCACAAGCGGUGGAGCAUGUGGUUUAAUUCGAAGCUACGCGAAGAACCUUACCAGGUCUUGACAUACUAUGCAAAUCUAAGAGAUUAGACGUUCCCUUCGGGGACAUGGAUACAGGUGGUGCAUGGUUGUCGUCAGCUCGUGUCGUGAGAUGUUGGGUUAAGUCCCGCAACGAGCGCAACCCUUAUUAUCAGUUGCCAGCAUUAAGUUGGGCACUCUGGUGAGACUGCCGGUGACAAACCGGAGGAAGGUGGGGAUGACGUCAAAUCAUCAUGCCCCUUAUGACCUGGGCUACACACGUGCUACAAUGGAUGGUACAACGAGUUGCGAACUCGCGAGAGUAAGCUAAUCUCUUAAAGCCAUUCUCAGUUCGGAUUGUAGGCUGCAACUCGCCUACAUGAAGUCGGAAUCGCUAGUAAUCGCGGAUCAGCAUGCCGCGGUGAAUACGUUCCCGGGCCUUGUACACACCGCCCGUCACACCAUGAGAGUUUGUAACACCCAAAGUCGGUGGGGCAACCUUUUAGGAACACAGGUAACCGGAAAGAGGUACGA